RNAcentral lists this ribosomal RNA (347 nucleotides) under Dermasterias imbricata. RNAcentral's name for it is "partial 12S ribosomal RNA". It matches the Rfam family "Bacterial small subunit ribosomal RNA", at positions 880 to 1382 of the family's 1533-position model. Lineage: Eukaryota; Metazoa; Echinodermata; Asteroidea; Valvatida; Poraniidae. The record is from RNAcentral.
CUACGAACUAAAGUUUAAAACUCAAAGGACUUGGCGGUUUUCUAGAUCUUCCUGGAGGAGCUUGCUAUCUAACCGAUAACCCACGAAAAACCUCACCAGUCUUUGAAAAAUCAACCUGUAUACCAUCGUCGUCAGUCUACCUCUUAAGAGAGUAUACUUAAAGGAGUACCGCUCCACAACGUCAGAUCGAGGUGCAGUUAAUAGACUGGGGAUCAGUGAGCUACAAUAUUUUACUAUUUUAAUCAAUAAUUAUUUAUUAUGAACGAUUUUCUGAAAAGAAAAACCAAAACAGGAUUCAGCAGUAAUGCUUAACAGAGAAUAAGCAUGAAGUGCUAAACUCUUUAAGU